UAACCGACAGGCCGCAACCUGUCAGGAUUGGUAAUAGGACUUCAGUCAGCAUCAUCGCCAACACUGGCACCCCUCAGGGAUGUGUCCUCAGCCCCAUCCUCUACACCCUGUUCACCCAUGACUGUCACCCCCC
Long non-coding RNA from Thalassophryne amazonica, 133 nucleotides. RefSeq lists it as uncharacterized. The record is from RefSeq and is a predicted model, not a curated record. The transcript has 3 exons. NCBI's taxonomy places the organism in Eukaryota, Metazoa, Chordata, Actinopteri, Batrachoidiformes, Batrachoididae.